Molecule: non-coding RNA, 1720 nt
Organism: Candidatus Gottesmanbacteria bacterium
Lineage: Bacteria; Candidatus Gottesmaniibacteriota
Source: Rfam
UUUUUUGAGAGUUUGAUCCUGGCUCAGGAUGAACGCUGGCGGCGUGCCUUAGGCAUGCAAGUUGAACGGUCGAAAGAUUAGUGGCGGACGGGUGAGUAUAAGCAAGGAACGUACCUUUUUCUGGAACAUAGCUCGUCGAAAGACGGGGUAAUAUUCCAUGAGGUCGUAAGAUCAAAGUGCGUAACGGCACGGAGGAAGAGCGGCCUUGCUCCUAUCAGCUUGUUGGUGGGGUAAUGGCCUACCAAGGCGAUGACGGGUAGGGGGCGUGAGAGCGCGACCCCCCACAAUAGCACUGAGACACGGGCUAUACAUCUACGGAUGGCAGCAACUAGGAAUAUUCGGCAAUGGGCGAAAGCCUGACCGAGCGACGCCGCGUGAGGGAUGAAGUAUUUCGGUAUGUAAACCUCUUUUGCCAGAUCAUCGAGGUUUGGCGAAUAAGCACCUACAAACUACGUGAUUCGAUGUAAUCGGAUGGUGCGUAGUUACUGUAGUAAUACGGUAAAAGAAAAUCUCGCUAUAUGCUGGAACACCUUGAUAUGUCCGCGAAAUAGUUUUGCGAAAGCAAGCAUGUAUCAAGACAAUCAGCAGGCAACCUCCGCCUUCAUUUAUAAUGAAAGGAUGGCGGGGAGAGUCCUCAGAGACUACACGCGAGACCCCCAAUCUGUGGGGUGAUGAUAUAGUCCAAAGUUCGCUACAAAAAAUUGUGGCGGGCCAGCAGUCGCGGUAAUACGUAGGGUGCAAGCGUUAUCCGGAUUCACUGGGCGUAAAGUGUCGUGUAGGCGGAUUUCCGCAUCGAACCUGAAAGCCCGAGGCUUAACCUCGGCGUUGGGUUCGAGAUGGGGAGUCUUUGAGGAUGGGAGAGGAAAGGGGAACUCAUGGUGAAGCAGUGAAAUGCGUUGAUAUCAUGAGGAACACCAAAGGCGAAGGCACCUUUCUGGCCCACACCUAACGCUGAGACACGAAAGCUAGGGGAGCGAAGCAGAUUAGAGACCUGCGUAGUCCUAGCCCUAAACGCAUGUCUGCUAGUUGGUCCGCCGCAAGGGGGACUGACGUAAGCUAACGCGUUAAGCAGACCGCCUGGGGAGUACGAUCGCAAGAUUAAAACUCAAAGGAAUUGACGGGGACCCGCACAACCGGUGGAGCGUGUGGUUCAAUUCGAGACAAAGCGAAAAACCUUACCAGGGUUUGACAUGGUACCGUUUUAACCCGCUAGAAAUAGUAGGCUAUCCGCAAGGAUGGUAUCACAGCUGCUGCAUGGCUGUCGUCAGCUCGUGCCGUGGGGUGUUCCUUUAAGUAGGAGAACGAGCGCAACCCGUAUCCGAUGUUAUAAGUGUCAUCGGAGACUGCCCCGAUAUGUAUCGGGGAGGAAGGAACGGACGACGUCAAGUCAGCACGGCGCUUAUACCCUGGGUAACACACACCCUACAAUGGCGAAAAACAAUGGGAUGCAAACUAGUAAUGGCAAGCAAAUCCCUGAAAUUUCGCCUCAGUUCAGAUUGAGGGCUGCAACCCGCCCUCAUGAAGUCGGAAUCGGUAGUAAUCGCAGAUCAGAAGGCUGCGGUGAAUACGUUCUCGGGUCUUGUACACACCGCCCGUCAAGCCAACAAAGUUGGGGGCGGCUGAAGGCCGUUUUUACGGUCGAAGCCGAACUCAGCGAUGGGGACUAAGUCGUAAGUUUGUUGCGACCCAUAUCCGUAAGGGUAUGGGAAAAUCCAACUGU